CGCGCAAAUUACCCACUCCCGGCACGGGGAGGUAGUGACGAAAAAUAACAAUACGGGACUCUUUUGAGACCCCGUAAUUGGAAUGAGUACACUCUAAAUCCUUUAACGAGGAUCUAUUGGAGGGCAAGUCUGGUGCCAGCAGCCGCGGUAAUUCCAGCUCCAAUAGCGUAUAUUAAAGUUGUUGCGGUUAAAAAGCUCGUAGUUGGAUCUCAGUUCCAGACGGGCGGUCCUCCUAACGGUGGUUACUGCCUGGCCUGAACAGCCAGCCGGUUUCCCUAGAUGAUCUUCACCGGUUGUCUUGGGUGACCGGCACGUUUACUUUGAAAAAAUUAGAGUGCUCAAAGCAGGCGUGUAGCCUGAAUAAUGGUGCAUGGAAUAAUGGAAUAGGACUUCGUUUCUAUUUUGUUGGUUUUCGGAACACGAGGUAAUGAUUAAGAGGGACAGACGGGGGCAUUCGUAUUGCGACGCUAGAGGUGAAAUUCUUGGACCGUC
Molecule: ribosomal RNA, 492 nt
Filed under: Macrothelidae gen. 2 sp. 2 ZZY-2021a
Lineage: Eukaryota; Metazoa; Arthropoda; Arachnida; Araneae; Macrothelidae
Description: SSU rRNA
Rfam family: Eukaryotic small subunit ribosomal RNA
Source: RNAcentral